Long non-coding RNA from Gorilla gorilla gorilla (western lowland gorilla), 919 nucleotides. RefSeq lists it as uncharacterized. The transcript is spliced from 5 exons. The record is from RefSeq and is a predicted model, not a curated record. NCBI's taxonomy places the organism in Eukaryota, Metazoa, Chordata, Mammalia, Primates, Hominidae.
AGAUUUCAAGAUUGUGGACUUCACCAAAGCAUUCUUAUGUGGAAAUGACAUCUUGAAACCUUAUCUGUUCUCCCUGCCAACAGAAACUGCCUACUCAGAGUAAGCUUUUAUAGACAUAAUGGAGCUCACUUACAACAGCAUCUGUUCUGAAAUAUUCUGCACAGCUAAGAGGGUGAAAAAAUGCAAACUUUUAAAUUAAUAGUCAUUGAGGGAACAAUAAUGACAACAAUGACAACAGAGGGAAAAAUACAUCUCUAAUGAAAGGAACAGAAAGAAAUCUGGUAGACCAGAGACUCACUACCAUAAAAACAUCUACGUAGGACACCUCAAUAAAAGUCAGCAGCCUGGAACUACAUGAAAACAGCACAGUAAAGACCUAUAUGAGGCAUGUUGCCAAUUUAUCCAGAAAAAGAGAGAUAAACGUGUGACUGAAAAAAGUAUUUGUCGAAUGAGCUGCAGCUGCGUAUAACUAAUAUCUAAUUGCUCAUCUAGAACAUAUUAUCCAUCAGGCAGAACGAAGAAAUAAAAAGCCCAAAGAAUAAAUCAAAGGUAGUUUAAACAUUUCAAUUGGAAACCAAGAAUUGGCAUUUGAAUUCUUCUUCCAGAACUACUAUGAAGAUUUCUGUAAAAUUUGCAACUGGAAAUCCACCCUCACCUCCACAUUGUUGAGAAAGGAGUACCAGGACUGACUUCCAGGGUGAACUGAAUCUUGGCAUUCCUCUGGUCACUGCAAUUUGAUUCCAUUACAGGCAAAUGAUUUUAGAUGGGCCAAUCAGAAUCAACUUCAGAACUUUUCAAAAAGCUACCAGAAAAAGAAUGUCACCAUUUCCUCCUAGUCUUUAACUGGAAGAAUGAGAAGUUAAGGCUACUGCAGACACCUUGCAGACACAAGGAGGAGCCUAGAGCCACCUAAACCUAA